CUCGGGGUGGUUGUCUGGCUUCGGUGUUUUCUGGCUGCCCCUCUCCGGGGGGUGCCGGUUGCUCUCCACCCACGCGUGCACCCCCCCAGCACCAGGCUCCGCUGUAGCCAUCCACGAAACCUUUGUGGAGGACAAAGCUGAAGCGGCCCUCUCUGCCCUGCAGAUGCUGAGGGUGGAGGAGAGGAGUGGGGUGUCAGGCACAGUGACCCCAGGAAAUGUAGGUCUGACCGGUCUGACCCAGCCCUCAGCACCCUCACCGGGACAAGGAACUGGAACUGGAACGAGUCUGGCUUCUUCGACUGCUUUAUGAAGUGUCCCUUUAUUAGCCACAUCGAGGCUUUUUCCUGACAAGCCACACAGCAGCAGAGAGCACCAGUCACAAAACGAGGCUGCAUGGUCCAGCGGUUAGAGCCAAGGCAGCACUGCCAGCAGGAUUGUGGGCUCUAAUCCCCCGCUGAGCUGUUGACUCACUGUGCAAACCCAGGCAGGUCCUGCCUCUUUGUGCCGCAGCGAAGCCCAGCUGGAAAGUUGGGUAAAUAGCAGGAACCUCUUGGAGGAAAAAAAAAAAAAAAAAAAAAAAAAAAAAAAAAAAAAAAAA
This is a non-coding RNA of Anas platyrhynchos (mallard), 598 nucleotides long. The record is from RefSeq and is a predicted model, not a curated record. NCBI's taxonomy places the organism in Eukaryota, Metazoa, Chordata, Aves, Anseriformes, Anatidae.